CGCUUUUUGAUUAUUAUAAAAAGUAUAACCUGCCCACUGAAAAUUAAAUGGCCGCGGUAAUUUGACCGUGCGAAGGUAGCAUAAUCAUUUGUCUAUUAAUUGUAGACUGGAAUGAAUGGUUGGAAUGAGCAGAAGCUGUCUUUACUAUAAAAGUGAAUUUUAGUUUUUUGUGAAGAUACAAAGAUGUGAUUAAAAGACGAGAAGACCCUAUAAAGCUUUAUAUUAGCUAUGUUUGUUAAGAAUUAAAAUUUAUUUUAUAUUUUGUUGGGGCGAUGAUAAAAAUAUAAAACUUUUAUUUUAUGUAAUAAAUUUAUUAAAUUAAUGAUCCAUGUUUUGAUUAUAAGAAUAAGUUACUUUAGGGAUAACAGCGUAAUCUUACUAGAGAGUUCAAAUUGAUGGUAAGGGUUGCGACCUCGAUGUUGAAUUAGGAUACCUUUAAGGUGCAGCUGUUUUUUAAGGUAGACUGUUCGUCUAUUAAAUUCCUACA
This 487-nucleotide ribosomal RNA is filed under the name Dichelobius flavens. RNAcentral describes it as "partial 16S ribosomal RNA". It matches the Rfam family "Bacterial large subunit ribosomal RNA", at positions 1831 to 2600 of the family's 2925-position model. The record is from RNAcentral. Lineage: Eukaryota; Metazoa; Arthropoda; Chilopoda; Lithobiomorpha; Henicopidae.